CAUGGGUCCUGGAGCCAGGAGCUGGAGGAGCAGGCGAAGGCUCUCAUGUCACAGCAGUGACCCUGGGCUGUGCCUCCUGUCCUGACUCAGAGCUGGCUGGUCUGCAGUGUGGUACUCAGGGGAGGACACUGCCAGCCCAGGGACCUGGGAGCUGCGGCUGUGCCAGCAGGUGCACUGACGGUGGGUAAUUCUGGCAUCUACUCCAGGCUGCAGACACUGGGCAGAACCUCGCCAGAACUCAAGGAGGUGGACGUGCCCCAGGGGACUGUGGUCCCAGUCACCUCCUGCCGCCAUGACCAAAGGCCUGGGUGGUCCUCUGAUGGGAAGGAAGUGUUUUUAUUGACCCUCAGACAGCUGCGCUGUGCCAGGCAGGGCUCCCUGGAACCAUGGGUGUGAGUGAAGGAAGAAUUGUGGCUGCCACAGGGCCAGAGUGUGGCCCCUGCUUCCUGCAGGAACUGCCCUCACCCGACCCACAUGGUUCUGUAGAGCCACCACCCACCGCCAGUGCAGGAGUGAGCUCGGGACCCAGGCCUGGACGAUCACAGAGCGCUGACCCCUGGCCCAGGGAGCAAGCUCUUUCCUGGACGAGGAGUGAGAAACCUGUGCCCCCCUGGGUACCCAAGCUGGGACGGGUGACCUGGCCCUGUCUGGGUCAUGCACCAUACCUCUGCCACGCGGAGGAAAUGUGUGGAGAAAAAGAAGCCAGCACACAGAGAGAAGCAAAGCCGAGCAACGAGAGAAACUCGAGGAGACAGACAGAAAUGGAUGCACCUCUGACAUUUGAGUCCUCGGAGGCCCAGAAACCAGCGCAGCCCUUGGCCGUUCAGGUGGUAACUUCAGCUGAGCGAGUGUGAGUUGGGAUUCAAUCAGUUGUAACCAGAAGGAUCUGGGUGUGCCGGCCCUGGCAGUCAGGUGCCCCGAUGCCACCGUUUCACAGAACCACUUGUGACAGUCCACGCGCCAGAGGACUGGGUCCUCUGGAUCUCUGUCCCAGGGUCCCGCGAACACUCCCGAGGGGGUGGGACCAACGGAGGCCUG
Molecule: long non-coding RNA, 1038 nt
Filed under: Equus caballus (horse)
Lineage: Eukaryota; Metazoa; Chordata; Mammalia; Perissodactyla; Equidae
Description: lncRNA (ENSECAG00000046554.1)
Source: RNAcentral